UUCGCGACACCCCUAGCUACAAGUUAACCACAGUGGCUACAGAGCCCUGAGUGGCUACAACCACUACAACCACCCUGGUUGCCCUGGCUGCUCUGGCUACAACCACUACAACUUCGAACAAAGGCGGCAGCUGAUCGUGGGGUCUGCGCUCUGCACGUGAAAGUGAAGUCGGUUUCGCGUCCAGACACUUGUCGACUUCCUAUUCAACAAACAGGUCCUAGUCAUCUCAUGGUCCCGUGCAUCCUUCGUGAUCUUACAAGCCUACUUACGAACCUGGCCGCAUACUGCAAUUCGAAUGGAACCGAUCCAGUCGUCAAGUCGUGAAACAGAUUAAGCUGGUCAACCGGAAGGCAUCGCGGCCACAGGAAGUUCCGCCAUUACUUGUUUGUUUACCUUGGAAUACCAUGUAAGUGUUCCAAGGUAAACACUCCUGGGUUAAAUAAAGAAUACCAAUAUCAAUAAUUCAAACUCCUAGCAAUCCUGCUACCAUCAUUCAUCAUCAUUUUUUUCUUUGAGUGCUCGUGGGGCAUUAUACA
RNAcentral lists this unclassified non-coding RNA (536 nucleotides) under Ixodes scapularis (black-legged tick). RNAcentral's name for it is "zinc finger protein 502-like, transcript variant X2". The record is from RNAcentral. Lineage: Eukaryota; Metazoa; Arthropoda; Arachnida; Ixodida; Ixodidae.